This 254-nucleotide ribosomal RNA is filed under the name uncultured bacterium. RNAcentral describes it as "partial 16S ribosomal RNA". It matches the Rfam family "Bacterial small subunit ribosomal RNA", at positions 524 to 776 of the family's 1533-position model. The record is from RNAcentral.
GACAGAGGGGGCAAGCGUUGCUCGGAAUUACUGGGCGUAAAGGGCGCGUAGGCGGGAUGGCAAGUCGGUCGUGAAAUCCCUCGGCUCAACCGAGGAACGUCGAUCGAUACUGCUGUUCUUGAGGAUUGCAGAGGAGACUGGAAUUCCCGGUGUAGCGGUGAAAUGUGUAGAGAUCGGGAGGAACACCGGUGGCGAAGGCGGGUCUCUGGGCAAUUCCUGACGCUGAGGCGCGAAAAGCGUGGGGAGCAAACAGG